GUUGUGAGGGACGUAUUCAAAUGAAGUCCUUCUGUACGUUUUUUACUAUACACACUGUAUUGUGACAACAUUUUGUUAUUGAGCGUAAUAACGUGGUUACUACCAAAGCCUCUCUCGUCUACGUUAUUUAUUUGUCUGUUGGCUUGGCUCCUGUAUCUUUGUACCUCUCAAACUCGACUGAAGCAUCAUUAUAAUCGGCUACUUUAUGAGAACGUUUCACUAGUAGCUAGCUAGCUAUGUUUCAUAAAAACUCAACUAUCAACUACUGUAUACUGUUAGAUACAUUUAAAAAAGUGCUGAUAAAAUAUGUCUCCCAAUAAAGUUUUUUUUGUUGUCGCUCUAAUUUUACUGGACAAAGUGAAUUGUGUCGGUGGUUCAAGGAACCGGUUUAUGAUGAGAAAUGACAUGAAAAAGCAGAGGAUAAAUAAGGUACCAUAUUGUAUAUAUUAUAAUAAAGUAUAUGUGACAUGAUAAUACAUAUGCCAACAUUUUAUCAGGAAUUCUUUGAAAAGAAGAAAAUGCAGAGAAAGAUGAAAACCUUAGGAAUACCAAACUCUCCUGAAGGAGCCAGCUCUGGAAGUAUGUACCUGGUGACUUUAUUCAUAGUAAACCAGAUUGCUGCAAAGAAAGAAAACAAUGGUGAGUUCAGACAGACAUCUAUAGAUUAUGGAUAAAUACUAAUAACAUUGAAAAAGGAUCCCACCCACAACAAUAACUUAGUUUGUUCCAGAUCAGCCAAAGGUAACUCGCAUCACUGAUGAUAAGGGAGGACCCAAGUCGAUGAGGGAGGGGUCCCUGGAGUUACCCAUGAGCCCUGGCUCCCCAUCAGUCGUUCUCUUUUGAGAGACAGCCUUUGUACAGGCAUGGUUAUAUAUAUCAAGCAAUUAUAGAAUCAUUCUAGGAGGAAACGUCAUCUUUAAUGACAUUCAAGUAUUUGUAUUAAUGGUACUGUACAACUGAUGUAUUUUAGUGUCCAGGCUGCUAGAAAGAGAAAGCACUGCCUUCCUGAUGAAUUCAAGUGUAGACAGAUCUCACCAGGGCUGGAGUCAAACAUGUCAGACACCAGUACGUCAGACUACCAGCAACACAUCCAGGAGAAGGGGCUCACCCUGAGCAUCGUCGUCAGUCUACUCCUCAGGGGCAGGCCUGUUCUCCCUCCAACAGAGAGCACAGGUCCAGCCAAAGCCACACUGCUCCCCUAGGCCACCCUGGGAUAUCUCCACCUCAGAGCAACCACAGUUUAGACCUUUCUCUCAGCCAGGAGGAAGGAGAGAGUGUGCCUCGUGGGCCACAGCCCCCCCCCCCCCCCCAGUAUCCAACUGAACUGAAAUAUCAAAGAUGUGUUUUUACCUGAAAAUCAGCUAAUUUUAAGAAGAGUAUGCCUAAGAUAUACCUCAAGGAGGAAGUACCGACAACGUCUACCAGAGAUGUGAAUUAAUCACAGAGCUGAGGCCCUGAACCGGAUUUCUUGAGGUUUCCAACUGCACUGAUGUCAGCUCAUCUUGUCCUGGAAACACUCAUCAUGGUCCUAAGGAAUGCUGUGAAUCAUCGCCCAGUUACUCUCCAAGAGGAGGUUGCUUUAGUUCACACUUUGAUGGUGACGAGGUGGAGGAUUAUCACCAGUGUCAACAGGGUGGAUCCUCUAAGUCACACUCAGAGAGGUCCUGUAUUGAAGAGAUCCCUGUCCUCAGCCAGGCCUCAUCACUUUGGAACACACAACAAAGGGGUCACCAUCAGUCUCAACCCAGACCUUACACCCCACCCACUAGGCCUCAAUGCACAGGGAAUUGUGGAAACGACCAGAGAGAUCAUAAAGACCAGAGAGCGUUGGAGAGCUCCGGCUACACUGAGAGACGGUCAGGCUGUGUAGUUACAGAUGACAGUAACAGCCAGGUUAGGGUUAUAGGCGAUCAGUAUGUCCCACCUCGUCCUCUGUCUGAAUCACAGAGCUCUGAGGUCCACCAACAAAAAAUGGCAGCCACCAGAACACAAGAAACACGAGAAAUGGAGACACAGACUGUCACCAACAUCACCUCGAAAUGUCUAACAUCGGAUGUUUCAACUCAGUGCAGUUUCUGGACUUGAGUGUAAAGAGAACAACCUCGUGGACUCUGAAUCCCACAACAAUUCUGCUUACAAUGUCAUACCGACCCCAACCACCAGAAGGCAGGCCAGUCACAGAGAUGAGUCUAUGAGACAACAGACAGACAGAGCAUUGUCAGACAGAUCUAGGAGGGAGGGAGAAGAGCACACGCCCUGGAGAAAAUCAACAGCCAGAGAGCUCAAGGCUGGACCUGGGCACCACCCAUCAAUCAUCUCUUUAAACAAGUGUCGUAACACUAACACUGAGAGUAGAGUGUAUUCAGAGACCCACUACCUCUGUACUAGACGCUCCCCUCGUCACCAAUGAUGUAAAAAGUAUGAAUAGCAAAUGUUUGAUGUAAUUAACAAUUCAGUGUAGCCGAAUAUAGACAAAUCAAUGCAAACAACUUCAUAUGUGGUGUAAUUUAUCAUAGAUAAUCGAUUGAAAGUAAAGCUAAUGAAUGGGUGUAAUAAGCACACGUUAUACUGCAAUUAUAUUUACUCUGAUCUGUAUAUGUUGACAUUCUUCCGUACAGUUUGUUGCAGUUUUCUUACGGACCAAGAAUCAUUAUGGUGGUAUUUUUUUGUAUUUUCAGUGGUAUUUUGGAAAUGGAUGUUGCUCCCUAAUGAUGUUUUUCUCUCUUCCAUCCAGACUUGAGAGGUAAGCAGCUGCAGCAUAGAGGACAGGAAGAAGAAUAAGAGGUGCAGGACCCUGUUCAGAAUGUUCCUCUUAGAGAAGACCUUCCAGAUGAGAGAGAGGAGAAAAGGAGAGGGAGAGCAGAGGAGAGGGAGGAGGUCACUGCUGAGAGCAUAGUUAACAGGCUUUCAGAGGAGGUUGAGACACUUCAGGAAAUAGCAGACAUUCUGCUCAUGCUGAAGCAGAGGAAAAAGAUUAGUGAAACGUGAAGGAGAGGAGAGAGGUGGGGAGGACAGGAGAGGAGGGGAGGUAAAAUCCCGAAGUAUCCCUUUAAGAGUUGUGAACAACACUAGCAACUACAUCCCUUUACCACAGGAUCUGUUUCUGCAUAUUUAAACAUUUAUAACAAUGCCCUUGGGAUUCUACAUUAAAACGAAAGCUAGACAUUGCAAGAUAAUUACUUUAUUUAUUUUUCCCCGAUAC
Non-coding RNA from Salmo salar (Atlantic salmon), 3202 nucleotides. The record is from RefSeq and is a predicted model, not a curated record. Lineage: Eukaryota; Metazoa; Chordata; Actinopteri; Salmoniformes; Salmonidae.